Molecule: transfer RNA, 77 nt
Rfam family: tRNA
About the family: Transfer RNA (tRNA) molecules are approximately 80 nucleotides in length.
Source: Rfam
AGCUGAGUGGCGCAGCGGAAGCGCGCCGGGCUCAUAACCCGGAGGACGACGGAGUUAGUAUGCCCGUAAUGCAGCUG